AUGCUUACCUGGCAGGGGAGAUAUAACAGGAUCCUGAAGGCAGUUCUCCCAGGGUGAGGCUUAUCCAUUGCAUGCCAGAUGUGUUGAUCCUUGCAAUUUCCCCAAACGUGGGAAACUCACUGCAUCAUUUGUGGUAGUGGGGGACUGUGUCUGUGCUCUCUCUUG
Cercocebus atys (sooty mangabey) is the source of this 165-nucleotide small nuclear RNA. Its record names the gene U1. It matches the Rfam family "U1 spliceosomal RNA". From Rfam's summary of the family: U1 is a small nuclear RNA (snRNA) component of the spliceosome (involved in pre-mRNA splicing). Its 5' end forms complementary base pairs with the 5' splice junction, thus defining the 5' donor site of an intron. The record is from Ensembl. Lineage: Eukaryota; Metazoa; Chordata; Mammalia; Primates; Cercopithecidae.